GGAGAUUUAGCUCAGCGGUAGAGCGCUUGCCUAGGAAGCGCAAGGCCCUGGGUUCGGUCCCCAGCUCCG
This is a non-coding RNA of Rattus norvegicus (Norway rat), 69 nucleotides long. NCBI's taxonomy places the organism in Eukaryota, Metazoa, Chordata, Mammalia, Rodentia, Muridae. The record is from Rfam.